UCCAGACUCCUACGGGAGGCAGCAGUGGGGAAUAUUGCACAAUGGGGGGAACCCUGAUGCAGCGACGCCGCGUGGGUGAAGGAGCGUUUCGGCGCGUAAAGCCCUAUCGGCAGGGAAGAAGGAGGACGGUACCUGACUAAGAAGCCCCGGCUAACUACGUGCCAGCAGCCGCGGUAAUACGUAGGGGGCAAGCGUUAUCCGGAUUUACUGGGUGUAAAGGGGGUGCAGACGGCAGCGCAAGCCAGGAGUGAAAGCCCGGGGCCCAACCCCGGGACUGCUCUUGGAACUGCGCGGCUGGAGUGCAGGAGGGGCAGGCGGAAUUCCUGGUGUAGCGGUGAAAUGCGUAGAUAUCAGGAGGAACACCGGUGGCGAAGGCGGCCUGCUGGACUGCGACUGACGUUGAGGCCCGAAAGCGUGGGGAGCAAACAGGAUUAGAUACCCCCGUACCC
This 449-nucleotide ribosomal RNA is filed under the name uncultured bacterium. RNAcentral describes it as "partial 16S ribosomal RNA". It matches the Rfam family "Bacterial small subunit ribosomal RNA", at positions 330 to 795 of the family's 1533-position model. The record is from RNAcentral.